This 652-nucleotide unclassified non-coding RNA is filed under the name Leishmania donovani. Its description in RNAcentral is "gene:unknown". The record is from RNAcentral. Lineage: Eukaryota; Euglenozoa; Kinetoplastea; Trypanosomatida; Trypanosomatidae.
AUGCCGGUGCAGUGCCGGCAGGUGACGCGCGCUCUCGUUUGAACACCCCUUUGCGCCCUCUUUCAUUUUCCGUUUCGCCUAUCUCUGUUUCUCUCUCUAUCGCUGACUCGCUCGUCUCCGCGCGUGUAUGUGGCAGAGAAGAUGAAAAAAGAAAAAAAAACAUUACACAUACACACGUACACGUACACACACACACACACACAGGCGUGUCACGGCUGAUAUCGUCGAGGCUGCGAGGAGGAGGCAAGGCAAGGGAACGUCGAUUUUGCGCGUUGGCACAGGCACGGCUGGCCAGUUGCUCCAAAUUUGUUUCUGAAGUCUUCGCCUUUCUCCCCCUCGUUUCAUCCAACGCCUCACACGCUUUGUUUUGUGCCGUCACGCCUUGUGUUCUGGUCCUCCUCUUCCUCUGCUCCGAUGUGCCCUGCGUUAGCGGACUUUUCAUUCCUCCCAUGCCUUCCCCACUGAGGUUCGCUAUUAGGUAUCGACGCUCUAUCAGCCUUGACCCGCCACCUCACAGGUGCUACGGUGCACCUCUAGCUCAACCGCUUUUCUGCCUCAUGCGCCUUUUUUCACUUCUUUCUUUGUUUCCCAUAUCCUACGUAUGGCCGUUGCUGACACCGCCGUCGCCUGGGAUUUCUGUGACCCUCUCCAG